RNAcentral lists this ribosomal RNA (446 nucleotides) under uncultured bacterium. Its description in RNAcentral is "partial 16S ribosomal RNA". It matches the Rfam family "Bacterial small subunit ribosomal RNA", at positions 338 to 795 of the family's 1533-position model. The record is from RNAcentral.
CCUACGGGUGGCAGCAGUCGAGAAUCAUUCACAAUGGGGGAAACCCUGAUGGUGCGACGCCGCGUGGGGGAAUGAAGGUCUUCGGAUUGUAAACCCCUGUCAUGUGGGAGCAAAUUAAAAAGAUAGUACCACAAGAGGAAGAGACGGCUAACUCUGUGCCAGCAGCCGCGGUAAUACAGAGGUCUCAAGCGUUGUUCGGAAUCACUGGGCGUAAGGCGUGCGUAGGCUGUUUCGUAAGUCGUGUGUGAAAGGCGCGGGCUCAACCCGCGGACGGCACAUGAUACUGCGAGACUAGAGUAAUGGAGGGGGAACCGGAAUUCUCGGUGUAGCAGUGAAAUGCGUAGAUAUCGAGAGGAACACUCGUGGCGAAGGCGGGUUCCUGGACAUUAACUGACGCUGAGGCACGAAGGCCAGGGGAGCGAAAGGGAUUAGAUACCACUGUAGUC